ACAGAGGUCCCAAGCGUUGUUCGGAUUCACUGGGCGUAAAGGGUGUGUAGGCGGUUUGGUAAGUUUGUUGUGAAAUCUCCGAGCUUAACUCGGAAAUUGCAAUGAAAACUGCCUAGCUAGAGGAUUGUAAGGGGGGCUGGAAUUCUCGGUGUAGCAGUGAAAUGCGUAGAUAUCGAGAGGAACACCAGUGGCGAAGGCGAGCCCCUAGGCAAAUCCUGACGCUGAGGCACGAAAGCUGGGGGAGCAAACAGGAUUAGAUACCCUGGUAGUCCCAGCUGUAAACGGUGCGCAUUUGCUGUAAGUGGAAUCGACCCCACUUGUGGCGUAGCUAACGCGUUAAAUGCGCCGCCUGGGAAGUACGGUCGCAAGAUUA
Molecule: ribosomal RNA, 373 nt
Filed under: uncultured bacterium
Lineage: Bacteria
Description: bacterial SSU rRNA
Rfam family: Bacterial small subunit ribosomal RNA
Source: RNAcentral